Papaver somniferum (opium poppy) is the source of this 1461-nucleotide long non-coding RNA. RefSeq lists it as uncharacterized. Lineage: Eukaryota; Viridiplantae; Streptophyta; Magnoliopsida; Ranunculales; Papaveraceae. The transcript has 4 exons. The record is from RefSeq and is a predicted model, not a curated record.
CUGAGGUUAUCAGUUUACGAUUCCAUUCUGUACCCAUGACAUUGAAAACUAUAUCUUAUGUGUGCUGUGAUUGAGACAGACAUGCUCCUAUGGAGGUCUGGUGUGUUAGGGGAGGAAACAUUGAGUGAAACGGCAGGGCUUGUGGGGGGCAAAUGCUCCCUGAUCUAUGCUGGUCCUGCCACUGUGUGUGUUGCAUUCAGAAGAAGCAGAACGGAUAUUAGUGGUUUACUCAAAUAAGUACUAUUUCAUGAAUCUGAAUGAUCAGUUGUGUUUGUCCUCGUUAUUCAUGUAUUCUAAGUGACUGGUUGUUAAUUUUUUUUUUGUUGGUGGUGGGAACGCGAGACUUUGGUGUUGUGUUGGAUUUUUCCUAAUGAGUAUGUAGACCCAUAACAGGGGAAACAUUUCGGCAAGUUCUAAAUUGUCUGUCUCUACUAGUAACUUUGCAUCAAUUUCUUGCUAUGUUUGAAAAUGAUGGAUGUCAAGAUUACUUGCUGUAAAUUUUGUGUGGGGUUAAGUUUUCCUAGUGUAUCCACAUAUGUUGGAGUCCAGGAACGAGUUCGGCAAGACGAGGGCGGGCGGCUAAAAAGGUGUGGGCGAGGGUUAUCCGGAAAAGGUUAUCCAUCAUUCAAUCUGAUAAGAGAAUGGAGAUAAAAAAAUUCGCCACAGAUGCCGAAGAAUCAGAAAGCAGCAUGUGCAGCGUGCAAGUAUCAAAGGAGAAAAUGUCCGCUUGAAUGUCCCUUUGCUCCAAUUUUCCCUCGAGAAAGAGAGGAAGAUUUCCAGAAUGUCGCUAGAGUUUUUGGUGCAAACAAUUUCAUCAAGCUAAUGAAAAAAGCUAAGCCGUCAGAUCAACAUAUAGCAGCUGAGGCAAUGAUAAUGGAAGCUAAUGCUAGAGUGUCAGAUCCUGUUCAUGGGUUAGCAAGUUUUGCUGAGACCCUUUCGCAGAAAUUGGAUGUUCUUCUUUCUGAACUUGAUUUGGUUAAUCAACAAAUCCAAUUUCAUCGCCAGAGAAACAAGUUUUGCCAAAACAGUUUUGAUGGAUUUUAGCUAAGGGAGUUUUCAUCAGCAAUAGUGGCGCCAGUCCCAUCUCUGUCGGCUGUCGCUGCAACAACUUAUUGUAACUUAGCCCACCUAAGUUCUAUUCCCUUAAUGUAGGUUCUACCUUCAUCACUUGCAAGAGGUGUGCUCAGAUCUAUCUUGAGAAUGUCUUUCGAGUUGCUGUUAAGAUGCUAGUAGAAAGACUGCAGAGUCUUGUUAUGAUCUGAAAUGAAAAGGAAGAAACUCUUUAUCGAUUAGAAGGGGGUCUGGGUUUGUUCUUUUGUUUUAUUUUCUUAUGGAAGCAUUCUCUAGUUGUUGGUUGUAUUUUUAUUUUAUUUUCCUUUUUUUCAAUUCCCAUUUAGUUUAGAUGAUGAAUAAUGGAAUAAUGCCGUGGAACUUGAAUUAAAUAUUAGAACAUUUCUCGUC